Long non-coding RNA from Mustela lutreola (European mink), 2824 nucleotides. RefSeq lists it as uncharacterized. The record is from RefSeq and is a predicted model, not a curated record. The transcript has 2 exons. Lineage: Eukaryota; Metazoa; Chordata; Mammalia; Carnivora; Mustelidae.
AAGCUCUCUUUCAUUCCCAGGAAGGCACACAGCCACGCCCCCACCCCAUUCUCUCAGUUUUUAGGUAAUUCUUCCAGUGUUGUUUCAUUUCUUGAGUGCUUAGGUCACGUUUCCCCGGGUGGACUCUUCAGUUUGUGGAGGAGGACUCAGGCUACUGUACCUAGUAAGUGGCUGCUGAGGGUGAGAGCCACCAGCGAGAAAGGGAAGUAACGGUGACUGAUACCCUCUCUGCUACUCAUGGGAAAUGCCCUGAGAGGUAUCUCCUCCACAUUCCAAGGGUAAGCAACUUGCAAACAGCUGGUGUUUUAACUCCAUGGCCAGUGCUCUUCCCCUUAGAGCUCACUACCCUCAUUUCUCCACUCCAGCUGUGGCUCCAGCUGUGGCUCCAGCUGCACUCACCUUUCUCUUCCGGCCUUUCUUCUUCAGGAUGUGGAUCUCAGCAUUUGGGGAUGCUGCCUGCUCCUGAACUAAAGGCAAGAAUUGUGACCCGGAAUCAUGGCAGAGAACUUCUCUCACACCUGUAUCCGCCGGUAGUCUCGGUUGUUACUGCAUGGUACUCAGUCACGGCCCGGUCAGUCAGCCCUGACCGUACUAAGUGCCUGAGCACAUAGCACCAGAGCUGGCUUUCAGAUGGUCCUCACCACCACCCACUGCCUUCCCCAGGGUUGCAGUAUGGUGGGAGUACACGAAUGACAUGAUGAAAGCUGCUCUGAACACCUCCCACCUUUCCAGGAUCUGUCAUCGGGGCCCUCCUGGCCCCCACAGCCAAACUUACUCAGUUGUAAGGGCAUCACCACAGCCUUUUUGAGGGGCUUUGCUACAGUGACUGUGCGGCGAGCAAGCGGUCGGAGCAUUGUGGGAGACGAGUUCUCUUUUUCCUUUGGGUCCACAGCCUCCUGGGCCAGAACCUUGGCUUCCAGUUCUUUUUGCUUCAUCUUAAGCCUCUGUUGGAAAGGAUCAGAGAGACAUGUGACCCAGAACAAACUUUCGGGCAGCUUGAAGGAGGUGGGUUAGGAAAGUGAGUGCAGGGUUCUGAGCCCCUUGCCGGCAGGGUGAGGACAAAGGAGAGACGCUACCAGGAGACAACUGGAGCCCAGUAUGAUUAAGGGCUUUCGGAUGGUCAGGGAUGCUCCAAAGUGGAACAGGACCCUUUGUGAAACACUGAAGGGAAAGGACUAUUCAGGCAAAAAGUCCUAACUUAAUUUGAACUGGGUUUUGGGAAAUGACAAGACCUAACAUUAGCUCCUUUCGCGGGGAUGUCCACCCCUCACCUCCUCAGAGCUGACCUCAGUUGUUUUUCAAAGUCCCACCACAUUAAGGACAUUCAAGCAGAAGCCGGGGACAAGGGGUUCCAGUGUUAGGCUAAAAACUAAAUGCUGGUCCAGGCUUCUGCUGCCUUUCCCUGCCUGAAGAUGCUCAGAUGGCUUCUUAGGCCCGUAGGAAUCCCAGCCCCCAUAUCCCUCACACUUACCUCAAUCUCCAAAUCCUUCUCCUCCAUUGUCUUCAUGAGCACCAUCCGCUCUCGCCUUGGGGUGUUCAGCCCGUGGGUCCCCUGGCUCCCCUGGGAGCCCAGCAGACGGUCCAAACUUAGGAGGCGCUCCAGCACAGCGGGGUCCAUGCUACUUAGCUUCUGUAGGGGGCUGAGCAGACAAAGGUCACUCUGCACCUGGCCCAUCUCUCAUCACCCUCUCUGCAGUAGCAGGAUUCCCCUCAUGAUGCCUUCUACUGCUGUAUUCCAGGGGUCCACACUCUGGUGUAGACUUGCUGGGCAACCCCGAGCAAGUCAACCAGACUGUCUAGGUGCACGGCUUCAGCAGGUGAAUGCGGCUCCAUCACUACUUGCCAUGUCACCUCUCAGAGUGCCAGGAGAUCUGACAGGAAUAAGCGCUUUGUGCACACCCGAGUUCCAAGCCUUCAGGCUCCAAGACACUGCCCCACCCUGGCCUGCAGGCACUCCCUGUCAUCACAGAAGGCAGAGACUGGGAGGUGACAGCAAGGAUUGUGCAUCGGUUUCUUUGAAAGAGCCAGAGCUGUUGGGGAAAGAUUCACAGUGGAGGUCAUCUUCAGCAGGGCUUUGAAAGCCACUGGGGACCAAAUGCCAAGCCUUCUUCCCAUGGACAGUAGGAAAGGCCUCUUGGAGCGGAGUCCUGACUUAAUCUGAGCAUGACAAUGCCUAACAUUUGUUCUUUCUGUCUAGAAUUGUUUCUCUCCCAGUUAUCACUAAGUCAAUUGGACACCACCUUUCCCAUGAAACCCAACUUGACUAUGUAUCUUCCUUCCUGUACCGUGAAGCUCCUCAAGGACAGAGGCUGCCCUGUUCCUUGGGCCCAAGGGUCUAAGAAGAGCAGGAUCAGAAAAUCUGGGUGAACACCAGAGGUCCUUCCUUCCUGGCUCUCACAGCAGCAGCAAGUCCUUCCUGAUCGCAUCCUGUCCCACCUACUCUGCAUCAUCUGAUGUUCCCCUCUUCUCUCGUUUCCUGAAACCUGAGCCCCUGAGGUCAGGGUCUGACCAGGGCUGAUGGGCCCCGUCUCUGGGCUUACCCGGGGUACCUGUCUGGCAGAGACUUUGCCUGUUCACAUGUAACACACAUAUCUGCAAGGAUGCAUGUUUCUCUGAAUUUAUGCACAUAGAACACGGGACUGCUGACAGGUAGCUUGAGAGGACAAGACUGAGACGGGGUUCUAAGCAAACACCCUUUCCCGUAGGCCAUCCAGCCUCAACUGUAGCAGCUCCGCCACCCCACCCCUGCCAUUCUAGGGAGGCAACUGCAGUCUUACUUUUGCUGGGUUUCGACCCAAGCCCAAAUAAAGUCUCUCUAAACUGU